UACGUAGGGUGCAAGCGUUGUCCGGAAUUAUUGGGCGUAAAGAGCUCGUAGGCGGUUUGUCGCGUCUGCUGUGAAAUCCCGAGGCUCAACCUCGGGUCUGCAGUGGGUACGGGCAGACUAGAGUGUGGUAGGGGAGAUUGGAAUUCCUGGUGUAGCGGUGGAAUGCGCAGAUAUCAGGAGGAACACCGAUGGCGAAGGCAGAUCUCUGGGCCAUUACUGACGCUGAGGAGCGAAAAGCAUGGGGAGCGAACAGG
RNAcentral lists this ribosomal RNA (254 nucleotides) under uncultured bacterium. RNAcentral describes it as "partial 16S ribosomal RNA". It matches the Rfam family "Bacterial small subunit ribosomal RNA", at positions 524 to 776 of the family's 1533-position model. The record is from RNAcentral.